ACUACGGGUGGCAGCAGUGGGGGAUAUUGCACAAUGGGGGGAACCCUGAUGCAGCGACGCCGCGUGGGUGAAGAAGCGCCUCGGCGCGUAAAGCCCUGUCAGCAGGGAAGAAAAUGACGGUACCUGAAGAAGAAGCCCCGGCUAACUACGUGCCAGCAGCCGCGGUAAUACGUAGGGGGCAAGCGUUAUCCGGAUUUACUGGGUGUAAAGGGGGCGCAGCCGGCGAUGCAAGCCAGGAGUGAAAGCCCGGGGCCCAACCCCGGGACUGCUCUUGGAACUGCGUGGCUGGAGUGCAGGAGGGGCAGGCGGAAUUCCUGGUGUAGCGGUGAAAUGCGUAGAUAUCAGGAGGAACACCGGUGGCGAAGGCGGCCUGCUGGACUGCAACUGACGUUGAGGCCCGAAAGCGUGGGGAGCAAACAGGAUUAGAUACCCGGGUAGUC
RNAcentral lists this ribosomal RNA (440 nucleotides) under uncultured bacterium. RNAcentral's name for it is "partial 16S ribosomal RNA". It matches the Rfam family "Bacterial small subunit ribosomal RNA", at positions 338 to 795 of the family's 1533-position model. The record is from RNAcentral.